This 344-nucleotide ribosomal RNA is filed under the name uncultured bacterium. RNAcentral describes it as "bacterial SSU rRNA". It matches the Rfam family "Bacterial small subunit ribosomal RNA", at positions 8 to 334 of the family's 1533-position model. The record is from RNAcentral.
AGAGUUUGAUUAUGGCUCAGGACGAACGCUGGCGGCGUGCUUAACACAUGCAAGUCGAACGAAGCUGCGCGACGGAAGCCUUCGGGUGGAAGAUGCGUAGACUUAGUGGCGGACGGGUGAGUAACGCGUGAGCAACCUGCCCAUAAGAGGGGGACAACAGUUGGAAACGACUGCUAAUACCGCAUAAGACUACGCUACCGCAUGGUAGAGGGGUAAAAGAUUUAUCGCUUAUGGAUGGGCUCGCGUCCCAUUAGGUAGUUGGUGAGGUAACGGCUCACCAAGCCGACGAUGGGUAGCCGACCUGAGAGGGUGAUCGGCCACACUGGAACUGAGACACGGUCCAG